AUGGCUGUCGUCAGCUCGUGUCGUGAGAUGUUGGGUUAAGUCCCGCAACGAGCGCAACCCUUGUCCUGUGUUGCUACCGGGUAAUGCCGGGCACUCUCAGGAGACUGCCGGGGUCAACUCGGAGGAAGGUGGGGAUGACGUCAAGUCAUCAUGCCCCUUAUGUCCAGGGCUGCAAACAUGCUACAAUGGCCAGUACAACGGGCUGCUACCUCGCGAGAGGACGCGAAUCCCUUAAAGCUGGUCUCAGUUCGGAUUGGAGUCUGCAACCCGACUCCAUGAAGUCGGAGUCGCUAGUAAUCCCGGAUCAGCCACGCCGGGGUGAAUACGUUCCCGGGCCUUGUACACACCGCCCGUCACACCACGAAAGUCGGCAAUACCCGAAGCCGGUGGCCUAACCCGCAAGGGAGGGAGCCGUCGAAGGUAGGGUCGAUGAUUGGGGUGAAGUCGUAACAAGGUAGCCGUAGCGGAAGCUGCGGCUGGAUCACCUCCUUUCUAGGGAUACCGGAGCACUUACUUCCGGUAGGCGCUCGGCCAGUCUUGAUGGCCCCGUGGUUGAAAGAUCACCCGGCCGUCCUGUACCCGAGUUCGCCUAGAAGAACGUCGACCUCGACGAACGCUGUUGAGUUUUGAGAGACCGGAGUCUUGUAUUUAAAAGAUCGCUAUCCGGUUCUCGUUGGGCGGCUCGGUCCGCGCGCACCUUGAAAACUCCAUAGCAGUAACUAGCGAGUUCUUCACGAUCAAGAGACUAAGAGCACACGGUGGAUGCCUUGGCGCCAAGAGCCGAAGAAGGACGUGGGCGGCUGCGAUAAGCUCGGGUGAGGUGCUGACCAACCUUUGACCCCGAGAUCUCCGAAUGGGGAAACCCGG
Molecule: small RNA, 867 nt
Filed under: uncultured Actinomycetes bacterium
Lineage: Bacteria; Bacillati; Actinomycetota; Actinomycetes
Description: bacterial SSU rRNA
Rfam family: Bacterial small subunit ribosomal RNA (bases 1-492)
Source: RNAcentral